Molecule: ribosomal RNA, 509 nt
Filed under: uncultured bacterium
Lineage: Bacteria
Description: partial 16S ribosomal RNA
Rfam family: Bacterial small subunit ribosomal RNA
Source: RNAcentral
GAUGAACGCUGGCGGCGCGCUUAACACAUGCAAGUCGAGCGAGAACCAGACCUUCGAGUCUGGGGACAGCGGCGAACGGGUGAGUAACACGUGGGUAAUCAACCCUCGGUACUGGGAUAGCCGGGGGAAACCCGGAUUAAUUCCGGAUGGCCCUUCGGAUCUUCGGUUCUGAAGGAAAAGGUAGCUUCGGCCUCCGACCGAGGACGAGCCCGCGGCGGAUUAGCUUGUUGGUGGGGUAACGGCCUACCAAGGCUCCGACCUGUAGCUGGUCUGAGAGGACGAUCAGCCACACUGGGACUGAGACACGGCCCAGACUCCUACGGGAGGCAGCAGUGGGGAAUCUUGCGCUAAUGCGGGGAACCGUGACGCAGCGACGCCGCGUGAGGGAAGAAGGCCUUCGGGUUGUAAACCUCUUUCAGGAGGGACGAAGCUACUCGGGUUAAUAGCCCAGAGGGUGACGGUACCUCCAGAAGAAGCCCCGGCUAACUACGUGCCAGCCGCCGCCGUAA